This 327-nucleotide long non-coding RNA is filed under the name Lupinus angustifolius (narrow-leaved blue lupine). RNAcentral's name for it is "long non-coding RNA (LANG_LNC002707)". The record is from RNAcentral. Lineage: Eukaryota; Viridiplantae; Streptophyta; Magnoliopsida; Fabales; Fabaceae.
UUUGAGCAGUGAACGUGUAUAGUGGUCACACAUGUUUUAUUAAGUGGGGAAAGGCGUGUAAUUACUUUCUGCCUCAUGAACAUUGCUAGCAAAAAAUUCAACUAAAAAGGAAUUAUAAAGAACUUUAGUUUAGAAUAUCCCCAUCUAUCAUAUCAUGCAACCAUAGCCAUGCUUGGGUGACCCAACAUUUUACCUAGGCUUUGACUAGUUUUGUUUGGAUCAACCCCAUGACAAAAUGAUGCCAUUAAUUAACUUGGUUAUUUUGAAAUUAGGAGGGGGUGUUCACCGCCCCUAUGGAUGACCCAACAUUUUAACUUUAAGUUGCAG